GGUUGCUUCAGCAGUAGUAUACCCAAAUUGGAAAGAAACAGAAAAGAUUGGCAUGGGCGUUGUGCAAGAAUGACAUGUAAAUUCAUGAAGUGUUUCAUAUUUUU
Small nuclear RNA from Fukomys damarensis (Damara mole-rat), 104 nucleotides. Lineage: Eukaryota; Metazoa; Chordata; Mammalia; Rodentia; Bathyergidae. The record is from Ensembl.